UGUACUUGGGUGUGUGUUUGCUUAGCUUGUGGACAAAGACUAAAAGUGGGUGCAAAAACCAAGUCCUCUUUUGUAUCUGAGAACUCACUGUUUAAUGUGUUUUGAUACAAAUAAAAAGUGAUCUA
Small nucleolar RNA from Meriones unguiculatus (Mongolian gerbil), 125 nucleotides. NCBI's taxonomy places the organism in Eukaryota, Metazoa, Chordata, Mammalia, Rodentia, Muridae. The record is from Ensembl.